CAGGGAGCUGUUGCAAGCAACAAGGGAGCUUGCCCGAAUCUCAAUGUGAGCAGAUCUCGAGAUACAGACCCACCUGGGACCCGUGGCUCAUCUGGAUGCGACCCUAUUGCCCCUGUCUGGAGGGUUAAUAUGAUGCCCAGAAACGUGCUGAUCCCAGAGCAGCGCUGAAUGGCUGCCUGUAACUCCUCCACAGGAUUCCUUCAGGAUAAGGCAACCUUGCUCCCGACCCACGUUUCCGGCAGCGUGGGUGGAAGGCGGUGCGGGCAGGGGUCUUUGCCCGGGGUCCCUGGUGGCUGUUAGGCAGCAGAUGCUCCCACAGGUGCUGUGCUCCUUCCCCCAAAUGCGGGGUCCUGCUGCAGCCUCCGUGCCACCUGCACUGGGGACGACCUGUCAGCACCAGGGCACGCGCUUGGAGUAAGAGAUGGAGCGCGAGCAAUACCAAGACUUCCCCUGCCAGGGCCAAGAACCGAGUGCUGGCCGGCCGCCAGUCCACCCCUUUCACCGCUUUUCCGGCGGGCCCGGAAGCGACGUGCCCAGCUUUGCCCACGUGGGACGCCAGCCAGGGCGGGCGGUUGCUGCGAUAACCUGUGCAAACCUUGCGCAGACGUGCCACGGCUUUCAGCAC
Molecule: non-coding RNA, 625 nt
Organism: Struthio camelus australis
Lineage: Eukaryota; Metazoa; Chordata; Aves; Struthioniformes; Struthionidae
Source: RefSeq, a predicted model, not a curated record